Molecule: ribosomal RNA, 693 nt
Filed under: Klebsiella pneumoniae
Lineage: Bacteria; Pseudomonadati; Pseudomonadota; Gammaproteobacteria; Enterobacterales; Enterobacteriaceae
Description: bacterial SSU rRNA
Source: RNAcentral
UGCCCUUGAGGCGUGGCUUCCGGAGCUAACGCGUUAAAUCGACCGCCUGGGGAGUACGGCCGCAAGGUUAAAACUCAAAUGAAUUGACGGGGGCCCGCACAAGCGGUGGAGCAUGUGGUUUAAUUCGAUGCAACGCGAAGAACCUUACCUGGUCUUGACAUCCACAGAACUUUCCAGAGAUGGAUUGGUGCCUUCGGGAACUGUGAGACAGGUGCUGCAUGGCUGUCGUCAGCUCGUGUUGUGAAAUGUUGGGUUAAGUCCCGCAACGAGCGCAACCCUUAUCCUUUGUUGCCAGCGGUYCGGCCGGGAACUCAAAGGAGACUGCCAGUGAUAAACUGGAGGAAGGUGGGGAUGACGUCAAGUCAUCAUGGCCCUUACGACCAGGGCUACACACGUGCUACAAUGGCAUAUACAAAGAGAAGCGACCUCGCGAGAGCAAGCGGACCUCAUAAAGUAUGUCGUAGUCCGGAUUGGAGUCUGCAACUCGACUCCAUGAAGUCGGAAUCGCUAGUAAUCGUAGAUCAGAAUGCUACGGUGAAUACGUUCCCGGGCCUUGUACACACCGCCCGUCACACCAUGGGAGUGGGUUGCAAAAGAAGUAGGUAGCUUAACCUUCGGGAGGGCGCUUACCACUUUGUGAUUCAUGACUGGGGUGAAGUCGUAACAAGGUAACCGUAGGGGAACCUGCGGUUG